AGCUAUUCUGCAGAAGGAUCCUACAUGCCCUGCGUUGUUCUUGCUGGCGAGACAGUAGCGCAGGACAGUCAUUGGCACCAGACAUCUAAGAAUAAGAUCUGUGUAGUAUUUAUUUUCCCCACAAACUGCUUUGAGGAAACCUUCCAGGACAAUGUGAGAUGGAGGUGGGAAGGGUAAAUAUUCCUGGUUUCUAUUUAACAUGCAGAAGUGUUGUCCUUUAAGGCUCUGCACAGGUGCUGCUUCCUUACACAAUAUGUUGUAUUCUCUACAUGCUGGAUAUUUUAAUUGUUUAUUAUCUCAUAUUCUGUCCAGUUCAUUGUCAACAGGUGUACAGAUUUGUAUUUUUCUUCCCUUUUAUAUUUUAUAUAUUUUAUUAUCAAAUAGACCCAAAGGAAUGAUUUUGUAAGUUAAAUAAUAACCUAUUUUUUUUAUAACUGCAGAUAUUCACAUGUUAAAUUUUCCUGAGCAGCCAGGAAAGGAAAUAAACAACAGGAUGACUUGGAACGGGAUACAGAGUCACUGAGCCUUCAUUACUCUCCUCAGCUGGACCGUGAAGCAAGUUUUUUCUUUUUUUUUGUGGGAUGAUGGAUAAUACAGGUGAAGAGUCAUUUUGAUCAUUGUGACAAAGGAAUGACACACAAGGGGAACUGGAUGCCUACUUCAUCCAAACUGUACAUCACUGAUACAUGAUCACAUCAUCCUGUUCAAGAUGAUUUUAGUCUAAGGCACUGAGGAGGUCCUUCUCUGCCUUCUCCUGAGAAGCUUUUGUUGAAGACAAGACCACAUACCUAGCUGAUGGAAUCCUGGGAAGAGGUUGAUGUGCAGAACCUGGACUUACAAAAUAGUCAGGUAUGCUGAAUGGAGGGGCAACAGCUUCUACUACAAUGGAAAUGCAUGGGAUCUCUGAUAAAUCAGGAAAUGUCUUCCUGCUUCCUAAGCCGCUGUAUCCCCUUUAAGAUACAUCAUCGUCAUUCAGCUUUGGAUUUUGGCUUUAUCUGCAAUGCAUGUGAUUCAUCUCAGCCAUCAGUAUCUAACCAAGAAGGAGACCUGCUGCUCUUUACACACCCUUCAUGGGUCUACUGUGUAGAUAAUUUUCUUUAAGUAAGUCUCUUAUAUGACAAUAUGAAACUCU
Non-coding RNA from Myodes glareolus (Bank vole), 1132 nucleotides. Lineage: Eukaryota; Metazoa; Chordata; Mammalia; Rodentia; Cricetidae. The record is from RefSeq and is a predicted model, not a curated record.